This 253-nucleotide ribosomal RNA is filed under the name uncultured bacterium. RNAcentral's name for it is "partial 16S ribosomal RNA". It matches the Rfam family "Bacterial small subunit ribosomal RNA", at positions 524 to 776 of the family's 1533-position model. The record is from RNAcentral.
UACGAAGGGGGCUAGCGUUGUUCGGAAUCACUGGGCGCAAAGCGCACGCAGGCGGAUCGAUAAGUCGGGGGUGAAAGCCCGGGGCUCAACCUCGGAAUUGCCUUCGAUACUGUCGGUCUCGAGUCCGGGAGAGGUGAGUGGAAUUCCUAGUGUAGAGGUGGAAUUCGUAGAUAUUAGGAAGAACACCAGUGGCGAAGGCGGCUCACUGGCCCGGUACUGACGAUCAGGUGCGAAAGCGUGGGGAGCAAACAGG